Molecule: ribosomal RNA, 793 nt
Filed under: uncultured Planctomycetota bacterium
Lineage: Bacteria; Pseudomonadati; Planctomycetota
Description: bacterial SSU rRNA
Rfam family: Bacterial small subunit ribosomal RNA
Source: RNAcentral
AGGAAUACAUGGAUAACGUACCCUGAACACAGGAAUAGCGGCGUCUCGGGCGCUUCGGUGCCCGAGACUAGCGAAAGCGCCGGUAAUACCUGAUGAUCCCAUUGGAUCUCCUGAUCCGGUGGGCAAAAGCUCAGGCGGUUCUGGAUCGGUCCAUGUCCUAUCCGCUUGUUGGUGGGGUAACGGCCUACCAAGGCGGCGACGGGUACCGGGCGUGAGAGCGUGUCCCGGCACAUCGGAACUGAGACACUGUCCGGACACCUACGGGUGGCUGCAGCAACGAAUAUUCCGCAAUGGACGCAAGUCUGACGGAGCGACGCCGCGUGCAGGAAGAAGUCCCUCGGGAUGUAAACUGCUGUCAGGGGUUAGGAAUCAAUGACCAGCCCCAAAGGAAGCACUGGCUAACUCCGUGCCAGCAGCCGCGGUAAUACGGAGAGUGCAAGCGUUGAUCGGAAUUACUGGGCUUAAAGAGCGUGUAGGCGGGUCGGCAGGUGUCGGGUGAAGCCCUCGGCUCAACCGAGGAGUGGCUUGGCAAACGGCCGGUCUUGAGGCAGGCAGAGGUGACUGGAACGACUGGUGGAGCGGUGAAAUGCGUAGAUAUCAGUUGGAACGCCGGAGGCGAAAGCGGGUCACUGGGCCUGUCCUGACGCUGAGACGCGAAAGCGUGGGGAGCGAAGAGGAUUAGAUACCCUCGUAGUCCACGCCGUAAACGAUGCGCACUAGGUAUGACGGGGUCUGACACCGGUCGUGCCGAAGGAAAACUGAUAAGUGCGCCGCCUGGGGAGUACGGCCGCAA